CAGCACCUCAAGAGGUCAGGAUGAUUAUUGGGCCUAAAGCAUCCGUAGCCGGCUCUGUAAGUCUUCGGUUAAAUCUGUACGCUCAACGUACAGGCUGCCGGGAAUACUGCAGAGCUAGGGAGUGGGAGAGGUAGACGGUACUCGGUAGGAAGGGGUAAAAUCCUUUGAUCUAUUGAUGACCACCUGUGGCGAAGGCGGUCUCCCAGAACACGUCCGACGGUGAGGGAUGAAAGCUGGGGGAGCAAACCGGAUUAGAUACCCGAGUAGUCC
Molecule: ribosomal RNA, 270 nt
Filed under: uncultured archaeon
Lineage: Archaea
Description: partial 16S ribosomal RNA
Rfam family: Archaeal small subunit ribosomal RNA
Source: RNAcentral